CCCGCAGUUCCUGGUCCCCACGGCCCUCGGCGUCCUCUCCUACAACCCCGGCGUCUCCUAGCUGCUACCAGUCCCGACCCGGCUGAGGCUCAGACUCGCGCAGCCCACCCAGGCGGCGGCGGAGGCGGCGAGGACCCCAAGGUUACCGCCAGGCCCGACCAGGAACUUCCGGCGCAGCUGACAGUGGCGCGAGAGCGCUUCCGCCGGCGCCACUCCGCCCCCUCCCCCCGCGCGCCCGGUUUCCUAAUGCAAAUCUCCCCGCCGCAGCCAAGCGCUCCGUGGACCUGGGUGCGUGGUUGCCCACCGCGGAAAAGGGGAAUCCGGAAAAGGGGAUCCCGGAUGUUUUCAAAUUUCUCAAGAUGAGAUGCAUCUCGGAACACACUUUGGAAUUUUGGAGCACUCUGUACACCAGUUUCCUUCGCCUCCUCUCUGCCCUCCAAGUCAAACACAGAAUCUAGGAAUUUUAUUUCUAUUUUACAGGAAACAGAUCUUUCUAACUUUGGAAGAUUGCCACAGAGUACUGCUAGUGUUGUCACUAACAUGCUACUGAACAGCAUACUGAAAGCCACUCUAAAGCAGGCGCCUAGAGCUGGAGACAGUGGAGUGCUGAGGAGGAGAGCGGCUCUGUUGAGGGCAGGGGAAAACAAGGAGCCAUUUGAGUCAAGAGGCCCAGGAGUUUCUGGAAACUCACAAGGAAUCUGGCAGCACAGUUCCCAAGAGGUCUGACCCAGGAGGAUCAGAAAAACUCUGUGGUUCUCAGAGGGAAAUCCCCAACCCUGGGAGUCCAGAAGCUGCAGGCUCUUUCCAGAAGGGAGAAGUUCCUGCCAAGGCCCUUCGAGACUAAGCCUGUAGGUGAGUAACAACAUGGCAGGCGGGGUGGGGACAAGGCUGAAUGGGAUUCUAUGUCUCAAACAGAAAACAUCCUGAACAUUCCAAACAUUCCAAAUGAGCUUUUUAAUUGAAAAAUUUCAAUGAAGUCACUCCUCAAGAAAUACUUUGUCAGCACAGGAGAAAAUGACUUCUCGAUAAAACUUUGGAAGAAAUUAUA
RNAcentral lists this long non-coding RNA (1048 nucleotides) under Felis catus (domestic cat). RNAcentral describes it as "lncRNA (ENSFCAG00000050435.1)". The record is from RNAcentral. Lineage: Eukaryota; Metazoa; Chordata; Mammalia; Carnivora; Felidae.